Molecule: long non-coding RNA, 1761 nt
Organism: Musa acuminata AAA Group (dessert banana)
Lineage: Eukaryota; Viridiplantae; Streptophyta; Magnoliopsida; Zingiberales; Musaceae
Exons: 6
Source: RefSeq, a predicted model, not a curated record
GGAACAAUUACUUGGAAUUGGAGUGUAUUGGGUUCUCUCUGGUAAGGUGACCAACGGAAUCGAGUUGGUUCGUUCCAAGCCCAUAUUGAUGACACCUGUCGAAUCACGGGCCGUUUUCUUGGGAGCUCUGUGGAGUCCUCUGGUUAGUUCCAUCUCCUCCACCACUAUCUCCAGAUCCGGAGCACUCUUCUCCGCCCUUUCUUGGGAUCCCUCGCGAGAUUGCAGUUGCGAAAGCAGGUGUGCUGAUCGGCCGGCGGCGGUUUGUCAACUCGGUUCGUGGGUACAUGUGGUUUCUCCGAUGAUGGGAGGGGCGAUCGACUACUUCUAUGUGCUCGAGCGACUUGGUUCCGUGGCGGAGAUUUGUGAAUUCCAUGGUCUUGUGCGUGUUCUCUGUUUGGUGAAGAACGUUGAAUGUUUCAUGCAGGUCACCUGUUUGAUGAUAUCUUACAGAGAUAUCUCUCCUCGGUGAUGAGCUGUUAUGCGAUCCUAGCUGAAGGCUAAGGAGAUGAUACUUGUUCUCUGCUAAAGAAGCCACCCGGUUGUUCUGGAAUUCGUGAUGAAGGAGCUAGAUGGGUAUCUUGCGAUAUAUUUAAGGGAGCAGACCCUCAACCAUUCAUUGUUCCAGUACUUCUAUAGAUUGAACUGUCGCAUGUUGGUAUGAUUUGGCCUCAGCAAUGGAGAUACAAAGGAUUGGAAGUAGUAAUCUUGGUUCGUUGCAUCUGAAAUGGGUGUUGAUCCGAAGUUGGUGUAGGAGCUCUGCAAAUCAUCUAGUUUCAAGUCCAUAAACCACUCACUGUCUUCUUUCUGACUCUUCUCGAUCAUCUGAUGUCCAGCUGUUUUGCAGGUGCUCAAUGCUUGCACUCCAGUAGAAGCUUGGGAUAGAUAGCCUAGAUCAUCAAAAUCUGGCAACACGACCUCAUUUUCUACAUCUGAUUCUGGUGUCCUGAAGCUGUCGGACAGUGCAUCAUCCACUGAUUGCAUGGUCUCUCCAAAGGAUGUCUCCUCCUGUUUCUGCAUCUUCGUCUUCUCCCAGUACCUGGAAGUUCCCAAGGCUCGUACUUGUAGAGAUCGAUCUCGGCGAUGAUGGGCACAGGCAGGCACUGGCAGGCGGUCUUGCGGCAGAGAUAGUGCACAACGAGCUCCUCGUCUGUGGGGUGGAACCGGAACCCCGGCGGCAAAUUGAGCUCCGCUUCGGCGUCUCUUGUCCUCCCCAUGGUCGUCUUCUCCGCUGGACUAACUAAUGAUCCCUUUCAGAUUGGAAGUCCAACAAGAGUUCCAAAAGCUUUCAUUGCUGAGCUCCUCGUUUGUUCUGCUGCUUUUGGCUGCUUAGAAGUCGACUUCUGCAGCCUUUGACUUCCCCCACUCACAACUUAUCACUUGUGGAGCUUGCAACUCGGAAUCCAUGGUCGUCCCAAUCCACUAAGCUGUACUGCAAGGUGAUUGAGCUCCGAUGAAGUGAGGUCAAUGAGGAUAAAUGGUAAAGGUGACUGUUUCCUUUCUUUGACUGGGGUCAUUCCUCAUGGUGGUGUCUAGAUUUCUUAAAGGUUGUCUUCUUUCAAGCCUAAGGUUAGGUUUGGCUGUAUUUUCUAGCUAAUGGCUUCUAAGUCAGAAAGUUUGUUUGUCUACUCUGAACAAGAUUUUUGUCUUUACAUGUUGUAAUCUUUGACUUGCAGGAGUUUUCUCUUCUGGCUUUUUAAUGUAGAAUUCUAGAACCCUAAUCAGAUUCUAAAUGCACUGUCUUUUUCCUUUUUUUGGAUUAAA